RNAcentral lists this long non-coding RNA (540 nucleotides) under Elaeis guineensis (African oil palm). RNAcentral's name for it is "long non-coding RNA (EGUI_LNC050759)". Lineage: Eukaryota; Viridiplantae; Streptophyta; Magnoliopsida; Arecales; Arecaceae. The record is from RNAcentral.
UUUGCUAUGUUCCCCUUUUGUAGGUGGCCUCUUCCUCAUUCCUUAUCUUUUUUUCUUCAAAAACUUCUUAAACCUUCUAGUAAUGAGGGCCAUGUCUUCAUCCUGCUCUUCAUUUUCUGUAUCAUCAGAUUCUUCAUCAGGUUGAGCAGUGAAUUUGAGGGCGAUUAUCCUCUUCUUUUUGACAUCUUCUUCUUGGUGUUGUUUCAUGCUUAAGCUCAUGUGUCAUCAGCGAUCUUAGAAGCUCCUCCAAGGGUAGGAUAUUCAGAUCUUUGGCUUCUUGAAUUGCGAUCACUUUGGCCUCCCAAGUCCUUGGUAAAGAUCUAAGAAUCUUUCUCACGAGAUCACUGUUAGAAUAAGACUUACCAAAACUUUUUAGACCAUUAAUAAUAUCAGUAAAAUGAGUAAAUAUUUCAGUUAUUGAUUCAUCAUGCUCCAUUUUAAAAAGUUCAUAUUUAUACACAAGCAUGUUAAUUUUUGAUUCCUUCACUUGAUUAGUUCUUUCAUGAGUUACUUCUAAUCUAUCCCAUAUUUCCUUAGCUG